Long non-coding RNA from Mesocricetus auratus (golden hamster), 430 nucleotides. RefSeq lists it as uncharacterized. The record is from RefSeq and is a predicted model, not a curated record. Lineage: Eukaryota; Metazoa; Chordata; Mammalia; Rodentia; Cricetidae. The transcript has 2 exons.
GAUGCCUCAAGUGCAGGGAUCUCACGAUGAGGACCGUGAACAAAAGAAAAAGCCUGCGUGUGUCCAGAAAACAAGAAGAGAAGAAAGGAGAGAGGGCCAGAAGAACUAUCUGGAUCCAGCAUGGCCCAGAACUUUCUAAAAUUAGUUACAGAUAACAAACCCCAGAUCUAGGAAGCUCGGAGAAUACCAGGUUCUGAUGCCCUUCUCUUCCCAGUCCGGAACUGGUUUUGAAGACUCAGACCCUGGACCUCACUGGACCUGCUCGGGCAUUAGGCUGCUGGCUCUUUCUCACAGCCAAGUUCAUACCCACUGGGCUUCCAGGAUCAUGCUCUCGGUCUUGACAGACUCAAGGAGCAUGAGCCAAAAAGAAAAUAAAUAAAUAAAUAAAUAUAAGGCUGUUCUUUACAAAAUAAAUAUAGGCUGCUCUUUA